GAUGAACGCUGGCGGCGUGCCUAAUACAUGCAAGUCGAGCGAACGGACGGGAAGCUUGCUUCUCUGAUGUUAGCGGCGGACGGGUGAGUAACACGUGGAUAACCUACCUAUAAGACUGGGAUAACUUCGGGAAACCGGAGCUAAUACCGGAUAAUAUUUUGAACCGCAUGGUUCAAAAGUGAAAUACGGUCUUGCUGUCACUUAUAGAUGGAUCCGCGCUGCAUUAGCUGGUUGGUAAGUUAACGGCUUACCAAGGCAACGAUGCAUAGCCGACCUGAGAGGGUGAUAGGCCACCCUGGAAGUGAGACACGGUCCAGAGUCCUACGGGAGGCAGCAGUAGGGAACCUUCCGCAAUGGGCGAAAGCCUGACGGAGCAACGCCGAGUGAGUGAUGAAGGUCUUCGGAUCGUAAUACUGUGUUAUUAGGGAAGAACAUAUGUGUAAGUAACUGUGCACAUCUUGACGGUAACUAAUAAGAAAGCCCCGGCUAACUACGUG
This 497-nucleotide ribosomal RNA is filed under the name uncultured bacterium. RNAcentral describes it as "partial 16S ribosomal RNA". It matches the Rfam family "Bacterial small subunit ribosomal RNA", at positions 28 to 507 of the family's 1533-position model. The record is from RNAcentral.